RNAcentral lists this ribosomal RNA (490 nucleotides) under uncultured bacterium. RNAcentral's name for it is "bacterial SSU rRNA". It matches the Rfam family "Bacterial small subunit ribosomal RNA", at positions 30 to 509 of the family's 1533-position model. The record is from RNAcentral.
UGAACGCUAGCUACAGGGCUUAACACAUGCAAGUCGAGGGGCAGCAUAGCGAGAGCUUGCUUUUGCUGAUGGCGACCGGCGCACGGGUGAGUAACGCGUAUCCAACCUUCCCUGUACUAGAGAAUAGCCCGGCGAAAGUCGGAUUAAUGCUCUAUGUUCUUCUUUGAUGGCAUCUGACGAGAAGCAAAGGUUUACCGGUAUAGGAUGGGGAUGCGUCUGAUUAGGUAGUAGGCGGGGUAACGGCCCACCUAGCCGACGAUCAGUAGGGGUUCUGAGAGGAAGGUCCCCACAUUGGUACUGAGACACGGACCAAACUCCUACGGGAGGCAGCAGUGAGGAAUAUUGGUCAAUGGGCGAGAGCCUGAACCAGCCAAGUAGCGUGCAGGAAGACUGCCCUAUGGGUUGUAAACUGCUUUUAUGCGGGAAUAAAGGUGCCCACGUGUGGGUGUUUGCAUGUACCGUAAGAAUAAGGACCGGCUAAUUCCGUGCC